AUUGAACGCUGGCGGCAUGCUUUACACAUGCAAGUCGAACGGCAGCGCGGGCUUCGGCCUGGCGGCGAGUGGCGAACGGGUGAGUAAUGCAUCGGAACGUGCCCAGUAGUGGGGGAUAGCGCGGCGAAAGCGGGAUUAAUACCGCAUACGACCUGAGGGUGAAAGCGGGGGAGCGAAAGGCCUCGCGCUAUUGGAGCGGCCGAUGUCGGAUUAGCUAGUUGGUGGGGUAAAGGCUUACCAAGGCGACGAUCCGUAGCUGGUCUGAGAGGACGACCAGCCACACUGGAACUGAGACACGGCCCAGACUCCUACGGGAGGCAGCAGUGGGGAAUUUUGGACAAUGGGCGCAAGCCUGAUCCAGCCAUGCCGCGUGCGGGAAGAAGGCCUUCGGGUUGUAAACCGCUUUUGUUCGGGAAGAAAUCCUCUGGGCUAAUACCCCGGGGGGAUGACGGUACCGAAAGAAUAAGCACCGGCUAACUACGUG
RNAcentral lists this ribosomal RNA (484 nucleotides) under uncultured bacterium. RNAcentral's name for it is "partial 16S ribosomal RNA". It matches the Rfam family "Bacterial small subunit ribosomal RNA", at positions 29 to 507 of the family's 1533-position model. The record is from RNAcentral.